GCCGAACGCUGGCGGCAGGCUUAACACAUGCAAGUCGAACGAGUGGCGGACGGGUGAGUAAUGCUUGGGAAUCUAGCUUAUGGAGGGGGAUAACUACGGGAAACUGUAGCUAAUACCGCGUACCAUAGGAUGAGCCCAAGUGGGAUUCGGUAGUUGGUGAGGGAAAUUCUCACCAAGCCGACGAUCUCUAGCUGGUCUGAGAGGAUGACCCGCCAAAAUGUGACUGAGAAAAGGCCCAGACUCCUACGGGAGGCAGCAGUGGGGAAUAUUGCGCAAUGGGGGCAACCUGACGCAGCCAGGCCGCGUGAAUGAAGAAGGCUUUCGGGUGGUAAAGUUCUUUCGGUAGCGAGGCGUUAACUACAGAAGAAGCACCGGCUAACGCCUUGCCAGCAGCCGCGGUAAUAC
Molecule: ribosomal RNA, 405 nt
Filed under: uncultured bacterium
Lineage: Bacteria
Description: partial 16S ribosomal RNA
Rfam family: Bacterial small subunit ribosomal RNA
Source: RNAcentral